Non-coding RNA from Chiloscyllium plagiosum (whitespotted bambooshark), 832 nucleotides. The record is from RefSeq and is a predicted model, not a curated record. NCBI's taxonomy places the organism in Eukaryota, Metazoa, Chordata, Chondrichthyes, Orectolobiformes, Hemiscylliidae.
GUUUGCUUAUGUAUAAUUUUAUAUUGGUAAAUGGAAAAGUCACUUUGUUGAAAGUGUGGCAAAUGGUUUUUGGAUUUCUAACAAUGCAUUUAGCAUUGUUUAAAGGAGAUAAGAAGCCAACGUUUUUCAUCUUGCUCUCAUCAGGACUAAGACACAAGAAACAGAAGAAAGGAAUAUAAAUUUAAACAAUGUGAGAAAUGUUUACUGAUCAGUUAUGGAGGGAUUCUCAUUUGUGGAUCCCAUGUACUGUCACCACCCUGCUAGCUUGGUCAAAAACUUUGGGGUCUCGGGAGCUUUAGAUCACCACUGAGGAAAACCGUGAUUUUGAAGUACAGCUGGCCGUUCCGGUUUGCCGUACCUGGUGCCUCAACGAAGACUUUGGAUUGUGUAGGCCUUCAGUCUGGGUUGAGUCUGCUGAUGCAGGAGGAGGUAUUGGAUUUAUCAAGAGGUGUCAGUGAAAGGAUAGCUAGAGGCAAAUCAAAUCUCCAUCCCUUCAUCCCAAUGCUGGAACAAAAGAGAACCUACUACUGUGUCAUGGGGUUUCGGUGGAUGGGUAACAAAGGAAGAUUGAAAAACGACACCUGCUCCAAAAAUGUGUCCUGGACUGCUGUUCAACUGCUGAAUUUAAUUUAAGUCCUGCUAGCACUCCUGUGUCUGGCCAAGAGCCAGCAAAUGUAUCCAUGUCCUCUCCAUGACUGCUUUAGUGACCAGACAAUCAACGCUAUAACUAGAAGUGGGAGGACAAUGGGAUGGUUGCAGUUGAACCUGUUUCUAAUUUUCUACAUGAUAUCUGGCCCUCAUGAUUCCAACAAGCUUUUACUUUGUGAUAAUA